GAGAUGAAUAAAAUUAACUUAGCCAAGCAAAUCUCUUAAACGGCUCUUUCACCUACCAUUGAAGCUGCUUUAACGUUACAAUUUGGGAGAGAACUUGGUUUAAAUUUUGAAGGUGAAGAAAGAGCUUUGGUUGGCAAUUUUGAGGAUAAUAUUUCUAAGGAUCUUGCUCUUUCAGCAAUCAUUCUUGAGGGCGUUUUCUAGGCCACAACCAGGAGGGCUAGGGCAUUUUCCUUGGCUGUGAUCCUUUAUCAUGUCUUCUAUCUUAUCUUGGAAUUGCAGAGGUUUAGGUGGUUCAAGUAAGAAGUCACAACUAAAGUCUCUAUUUUUCAAGCACAAAGUUGGUAUUACUGCUGCUUUAGAGAUAAAAAGCAACUUUCUAUCCUUUGUUAAUAUUCGGAGAGCUUGGGGUAUGGGCAACUGGUACUGGUCAAUUGUGUAUGCAGAUAGCCAUUUGGGUGGCUUGCUGCUUGUCUGGAACAAAGACUUUGUUCUGGUCACUCAUCACUGCAUUUUUGGUUGGUGUAUUUUACUCUUUGGCAUUCUUGUACCUUGUAAUUUUGAAGUAUCCAUGGGUUUUGCCUAUGCCCCAUGUGAUUACCAUAAGCAGAAGAUUUUAUGAAAGGAGAUUCUUGAUGAAUUAAGGCUCAAUUCGGGUCCUAUUUUAUUGAUUGUUGACCAAACCUUGAGAAGUUCGGAUAGGAAGAGUGGGAUUGGUUCGUCAACUGGGAUGUCUGAUUUUCAAUCAUUGGUUAGUGAUCUCAAUCUUACAGAGGUACUUCCAAGCGGCAAGAGAUUCGUGAUACUGAGUUUAUUGCUUUCUUUUAUUUUCUUUGGGUUGGUAGUGUUACUUGUUUUUUGUUUGUAUUGGUUUUGUUCGUCUCUGGGUAUUGUUGUUUGUCUUUGUAGUUUGUUCUGUCAUUUGUUCUACUUCUUACACGGACUGUUUUGCUGAAUUUGUGGUCUCGGUGUUGUGCUUUUUGGCUUCCACUUUGUUGUUUGUGCCUUUUAGGUGUGGGUGUAAGGGAUAUGCCUAUUGGCAUGGAUUUGGCAUCCAGGCCUCAGCUUAGUGCAUUUUAAUGUUUUAUUUCUAAUUAUCAAUAAAACUUGCUUAUCUCAUAAGAAAAAAAACUGAGAUCUAUAACAAAAUUUAUUUAGAAUUGAUCCAUCACCAAUUAAUAUAUAAAC
RNAcentral lists this unclassified non-coding RNA (1185 nucleotides) under Hevea brasiliensis (rubber tree). Lineage: Eukaryota; Viridiplantae; Streptophyta; Magnoliopsida; Malpighiales; Euphorbiaceae. The record is from RNAcentral.